RNAcentral lists this ribosomal RNA (262 nucleotides) under uncultured soil bacterium. RNAcentral describes it as "partial 16S ribosomal RNA". It matches the Rfam family "Bacterial small subunit ribosomal RNA", at positions 639 to 901 of the family's 1533-position model. The record is from RNAcentral.
GACUUGAGUGCAGAAGAGGAAGUGGAAUUCCACGUGUAGCGGUGAAAUGCGUAGAGAUGUGGAGGAACACCAGUGGCGAAGGCGACUCUCUGGUCUGUAACUGACGCUGAGGCGCGAAAGCGUGGGGAGCAAACAGGAUUAGAUACCCUGGUAGUCCACGCCGUAAACGAUGAGUGCUAAGUGUUAGAGGGUUUCCGCCCUUUAGUGCUGCAGCUAACGCAUUAAGCACUCCGCCUGGGGAGUACGGCGCAAGACUGAAACU